GAGUUUGAUCCUGGCUCAGGACUAACGCUGGCGGCGUGCCUAACACAUGCAAGUCGAACGAGGUAGCAAUACCUAGUGGCAGACGGGUGAGUAACGCGUAGGUAAUGUGCCCUCCUGCGGGGGAUACCGUUCCGAAAGGGACGUUAAUACCGCAUAACAUACCACAGGGGCAUCCUUGAGGUAUCAAACUUCCGGGGUAGGGGGAGCAGCCUGCGUUCUAUCAGCUUGUUGGUGAGGUAACGGCUCACCAAGGCUACGACGGAUAACUGGUCUGAGAGGAUGACCAGUCACACUGGGACUGAGACACGGCCCAGACUCCUACGGGAGGCAGCAGUGAGGAAUAUUGCGCAAUGGGCGAAAGCCUGACGCAGCGACGCCGCGUGGAGGAUGAAGGCCUUCGGGUU
This 404-nucleotide ribosomal RNA is filed under the name uncultured Actinomycetes bacterium. RNAcentral describes it as "bacterial SSU rRNA". It matches the Rfam family "Bacterial small subunit ribosomal RNA", at positions 9 to 424 of the family's 1533-position model. Lineage: Bacteria; Bacillati; Actinomycetota; Actinomycetes. The record is from RNAcentral.